RNAcentral lists this ribosomal RNA (1017 nucleotides) under uncultured organism. Its description in RNAcentral is "bacterial SSU rRNA". It matches the Rfam family "Bacterial small subunit ribosomal RNA", at positions 355 to 1375 of the family's 1533-position model. The record is from RNAcentral.
UGAGGAAUAUUGGUCAAUGGGCGAGAGCCUGAACCAGCCAAGUAGCGUGAAGGAUGACUGCCCUAUGGGUUGUAAACUUCUUUUAUAAAGGAAUAAAGUCGGGUAUGGAUACCCGUUUGCAUGUACUUUAUGAAUAAGGAUCGGCUAACUCCGUGCCAGCAGCCGCGGUAAUACGGAGGAUCCGAGCGUUAUCCGGAUUUAUUGGGUUUAAAGGGAGCGUAGAUGGAUGUUUAAGUCAGUUGUGAAAGUUUGCGGCUCAACCGUAAAAUUGCAGUUGAUACUGGAUAUCUUGAGUGCAGUUGAGGCAGGCGGAAUUCGUGGUGUAGCGGUGAAAUGCUUAGAUAUCACGAAGAACUCCGAUUGCGAAGGCAGCCUGCUAAGCUGCAACUGACAUUGAGGCUCGAAAGUGUGGGUAUCAAACAGGAUUAGAUACCCUGGUAGUCCACACGGUAAACGAUGAAUACUCGCUGUUUGCGAUAUACAGCAAGCGGCCAAGCGAAAGCGUUAAGUAUUCCACCUGGGGAGUACGCCGGCAACGGUGAAACUCAAAGGAAUUGACGGGGGCCCGCACAAGCGGAGGAACAUGUGGUUUAAUUCGAUGAUACGCGAGGAACCUUACCCGGGCUUAAAUUGCAGAUGAAUUACGGUGAAAGCCGUAAGCCGCAAGGCAUCUGUGAAGGUGCUGCAUGGUUGUCGUCAGCUCGUGCCGUGAGGUGUCGGCUUAAGUGCCAUAACGAGCGCAACCCUUGUUGUCAGUUACUAACAGGUUCCGCUGAGGACUCUGACAAGACUGCCAUCGUAAGAUGUGAGGAAGGUGGGGAUGACGUCAAAUCAGCACGGCCCUUACGUCCGGGGCUACACACGUGUUACAAUGGGGGGUACAGAGGGCCGCUACCACGCGAGUGGAUGCCAAUCCCAAAAACCUCUCUCAGUUCGGACUGGAGUCUGCAACCCGACUCCACGAAGCUGGAUUCGCUAGUAAUCGCGCAUCAGCCACGGCGCGGUGAAUACGUUCCC